CCUAUUGUCAUUCCAAAACAUACCAUUCCAUUCCAAAACAUAUCAUUCAAUAACCAAUAAAACAUACCAUUCCAUUCCAAAACAUACCAUUCAAUAACCAACAAAACAUACCAUUCAUACAAUUCAUGUUAUUCAAAACAAAACUAAACCAAAAGAUAAAAGAAGAGGAACCUAUUUGUUGGUGUCAGUCACGCUAUUCGUCCCACUUUUAGUCGGACUUUGAGUCGCUUUUUUGCCAACAUUUUCGACAUUUGAAUCUCUUGUAGUAGGCGUGAUUAUGUUGUCGCGUCCUUGGCUCGACUGACCCUAAUGUAAAAAAGUCCUAUAAAAAACAAUCAAAUUAAAUAAUAAAUUAUAAUGAAUUAUAAUGAAAAUUAAUACUCACCCGCUCUUAAGAAUAGUGGCGGGAGUUGGUGCAUCCGGUUGUCUCAAUCCUUUUGUCCAUUUUCUUCGAUGUUCUUCAUCGAAGCGGUCCUCUACGAUUUCUUGAUCUAUUCUUGCAGAUUGUGAUCGUCCGUCGUUUGUUCGUUUACGACUUCGUCCGCGUGCCAUUUCUAAUGGAAUAUUUUCUAAAUGAAUAAAUAAAAUGAAAUUAGUUCGAUGACCUUUUGAAUCUUGCCGGUUAUACAUCCAAGUUCGAUCAUCAUCGGUCAUUCUAAAAUUUUAAACCAAUACAAUUAGUUUUUAAACCAAUACAAUUUUAAAGCUAAGGAUUUUCCCAUGGAAUUAAUAAAAUAUCCAAUAAAACAACAUGGGAAUUAAUCUAGCUUAAUUUACUAUAUAGAUAUUUUAAUGGAAUUUUAGAUAUUUUAUACUAUAUAGUUGACUACCUAGGAGUCUAUUUUCAUUUAGGAUGUCUAGAGUAUAUUUUCUUUGGGAUAGAAAGAUCCCAUGAUUUUUCUGUUUUUUCAAUUAUUUUGUUUCAUAUCUGCUUAUUUGUUUGAAUAUAUUCAUUAGAUAUAUUUUCAGGACUUUCUAUUUCAAGCUCUUGUAUAUCUGCUUAUUGUCUGAGUCUGAGUUUGUUUUGUUUGAAAAUGAUUUUUCAUUUUCUAUUGAGUUUGAUGACUCAGGGGAGUUCUCCCUGU
RNAcentral lists this long non-coding RNA (1085 nucleotides) under Zostera marina. RNAcentral describes it as "long non-coding RNA (ZMAR_LNC004529)". Lineage: Eukaryota; Viridiplantae; Streptophyta; Magnoliopsida; Alismatales; Zosteraceae. The record is from RNAcentral.